Molecule: unclassified non-coding RNA, 715 nt
Filed under: Hevea brasiliensis (rubber tree)
Lineage: Eukaryota; Viridiplantae; Streptophyta; Magnoliopsida; Malpighiales; Euphorbiaceae
Source: RNAcentral
UGGAUUGAACGGCCACUCCGUGAGGUAAUACUCCUUAUCAAGCAGUUUUUCACUUUGAUCAGUUGUAGAUGUGAUCUUGUCUGGAUGGAUAAAUUGCGAUGCCUUGAGACCAAACUUCCUUUAGCUUGAUUUAUGUAUUAAUGUAACUAUACCUUCAAAUGUUGAUCUAAUCUGAAACAUGCACCACACUUAACCUGGCUGUUUUAACUAAUUCAGAAGGCUGCAGGUUUGCAACUCCAAAUGUUAAAUUGGCUUGUCAACAGAUUCUUCUACUCUCCAUAAACAUCCAUGAAUAAUAAUAAUAAUAAUAAAUCCCAUUUCAAUCAAAAUCCAACUUAUUAAAGAUUGAUAAAUAUAUUCACCAUCUUAUUCCAGACAUCAUGCUAACAUUUAUCAUGAAGAUAUAGAUGCAAAAGCUAGUAAAUAAAAUUAUCUGGGUCUGUUAAUUAUUCUCAACCUUAGCUAUUCAUAAAACACUUGUUUGUUUGUCAGAAGAGCAGACUUUACCUCACAAAGAGGUGAAAAUUGUGUGCUCUGCAUAGCUUUAUGGUUCUGGUUGGUAUAUUUGAGGGUGGAGGUCCGAGGUACAUGUAAACUUCUUGUGCAAUCAAAGGAUAGGAAGUAUAUUUUGUUCUAUAGCGCCCAUAAUUAUAUGCUGCAAGUUGCAUCUAAAGUAGUUAAUGUCUGUGGCAGAGGAUUCUGCAGAAUUAUAACU